AGUGAACGCUGGCGGUAGGCCUAACACAUGCAAGUCGAACGGCAGCACAGUAAGAGCUUGCUCUUACGGGUGGCGAGUGGCGGACGGGUGAGGAAUACAUCGGAAUCUACUUUUUCGUGGGGGAUAACGUAGGGAAACUUACGCUAAUACCGCAUACGACCUACGGGUGAAAGCAGGGGAUCUUCGGGCCUUGCGCGAUUGAAUGGGCCGAUGUCGGAUUAGCUAGUUGGCGGGGUAAAGGCCCACCAAGGCGACGAUCCGUAGCUGGUCUGAGAGGAUGAUCAGCCACACUGGAACUGAGACACGGUCCAGACUCCUACGGGAGGCAGCAGUGGGGAAUAUUGGACAAUGGGCGCAAGCCUGAUCCAGCCAUACCGCGUGGGUGAAGAAGGCCUUCGGGUUGUAAAGCCCUUUUGUUGGGAAAGAAAAGCAGCAGGUUAAUACCCCGCUGUUCUGACGGUACCCAAAGAAUAAGCACCGGCUAACUUCGUG
This 492-nucleotide ribosomal RNA is filed under the name uncultured bacterium. RNAcentral's name for it is "partial 16S ribosomal RNA". It matches the Rfam family "Bacterial small subunit ribosomal RNA", at positions 29 to 507 of the family's 1533-position model. The record is from RNAcentral.